This 222-nucleotide ribosomal RNA is filed under the name uncultured bacterium. RNAcentral's name for it is "partial 16S ribosomal RNA". It matches the Rfam family "Bacterial small subunit ribosomal RNA", at positions 524 to 744 of the family's 1533-position model. The record is from RNAcentral.
UACGUAGGGUGCAAGCGUUAAUCGGAAUUACUGGGCGUAAAGCGUGCGCAGGCGGUGAUGUAAGACAGAUGUGAAAUCCCCGGGCUCAACCUGGGAACUGCAUUUGUGACUGCAUCGCUGGAGUGCGGCAGAGGGGGGAUGGAAUUCCGCGUGUAGCAGUGAAAUGCGUAGAUAUGCGGAGGAACACCGAUGGCGAAGGCAAUCCCCUGGGCCUGCACUGAC